GACGUAGGGGGCAAGCGUUGUCCGGAAUCAUUGGGCGUAAAGAGCGUGUAGGCGGCCCGAUAAGUCCGCUGUGAAAGUCCAGGGCUCAACCCUGGAAUGCCGGUGGAUACUGUCGGGCUCGAGUCCGGAAGAGGCGAGUGGAAUUCCUGGUGUAGCGGUGAAAUGCGCAGAUAUCAGGAGGAACACCAAUGGCGAAGGCGGUGAUCUGGGCCGACACUGACGCUGUAGAGCGAAAGCGUGGGGAGCGAACAGG
This 253-nucleotide ribosomal RNA is filed under the name uncultured bacterium. RNAcentral describes it as "partial 16S ribosomal RNA". It matches the Rfam family "Bacterial small subunit ribosomal RNA", at positions 524 to 776 of the family's 1533-position model. The record is from RNAcentral.